Molecule: ribosomal RNA, 313 nt
Filed under: uncultured bacterium
Lineage: Bacteria
Description: partial 16S ribosomal RNA
Rfam family: Bacterial small subunit ribosomal RNA
Source: RNAcentral
UGGGGAAUAUUGCACAAUGGGCGCAAGCCUGAUGCAGCCAUGCCGCGUGUGUGAAGAAGGCCUUCGGGUUGUAAAGCACUUUCAGCGAGGAGGAAGGGUUCAGUGUUAAUAGCACUGUUCAUUGACGUUACUCGCAGAAGAAGCACCGGCUAACUCCGUGCCAGCAGCCGCGGUAAUACGGAGGGUGCAAGCGUUAAUCGGAAUUACUGGGCGUAAAGCGCACGCAGGCGGUUUGUUAAGUCAGAUGUGAAAUCCCCGCGCUUAACGUGGAACUGCAUUGAAACUGGCAAGCUAGAGUCUUGUAGAGGGGGGU